UACUGAUUGUCUAUAGAGGAGGAAACCUCUUGGGUUAUUACGGAGCCACUCACUGAAAUGCUGAUGGAAUCAAAUUGUCAAGUGUUUAAUACUACUCCCAAACAAUAUUCUUCAGCUUAAUUCACAACAUGAUAAUUAGACACAGUCGAUGAACUGAAGAAAAACAGGCGAUCUAUCGGCAUCUGCAUGAUUCUUAUCUCCAUGCCCAAGUCUCUGAAGAAAGACAGUGAAAUAGCAUGUGAACUUUGUGGAGUUUUUCAUUUUUUUAAUGAAAAUAAAUUUCCAAUAAAAAUACUAUUUUGUCAAUA
Myotis myotis is the source of this 308-nucleotide long non-coding RNA. RefSeq lists it as uncharacterized. Lineage: Eukaryota; Metazoa; Chordata; Mammalia; Chiroptera; Vespertilionidae. The record is from RefSeq and is a predicted model, not a curated record. The transcript has 2 exons.